RNAcentral lists this ribosomal RNA (492 nucleotides) under uncultured bacterium. RNAcentral's name for it is "partial 16S ribosomal RNA". It matches the Rfam family "Bacterial small subunit ribosomal RNA", at positions 29 to 507 of the family's 1533-position model. The record is from RNAcentral.
AGUGAACGCUGGCGGUAGGCCUAACACAUGCAAGUCGAACGGCAGCACAGUAAGAGCUUGCUCUUACGGGUGGCGAGUGGCGGACGGGUGAGGAAUACAUCGGAAUCUACUUUUUCGUGGGGGAUAACGUCGGGAAACUUACGCUAAUACCGCAUACGACCUACGGGUGAAAGCAGGGGAUCUUCGGACCUUGCGCGAUUGAAUGAGCCGAUGUCGGAUUAGCUAGUUGGCGGGGUAAAGGCCCACCAAGGCGACGAUCCGUAGCUGGUCUGAGAGGAUGAUCAGCCACACUGGAACUGAGACACGGUCCAGACUCCUACGGGAGGCAGAAGUGGGGAAUAUUGGACAAUGGGCGCAAGCCUGAUCCAGCCAUACCGCGUGGGUGAAGAAGGCCUUCGGGUUGUAAAGCCCUUUUGUUGGGAAAGAAAAGCAGCAGGUUAAUACCCCGCUGUUCUGACGGUACCCAAAGAAUAAGCACCGGCUAACUUCGUG